This 648-nucleotide ribosomal RNA is filed under the name uncultured bacterium. RNAcentral's name for it is "bacterial SSU rRNA". It matches the Rfam family "Bacterial small subunit ribosomal RNA", at positions 8 to 653 of the family's 1533-position model. The record is from RNAcentral.
AGAGUUUGAUCCUGGCUCAGGAUGAACGCUAGCGGCAGGCCUAAUACAUGCAAGUCGAACGGCAGCACGCCUUCGGGUGGUGGCGAGUGGCGAACGGGUGCGUAACGCGUAUGCAACCUGCCUGGUACAGGGGGAUAGCCUGUGGAAACACGGAUUAAUACCCCAUAUUGCCUAAGUGUCACCUGGCACUAAGGUGAAAGGCUUCGGCCGGUACCAGAUGGGCAUGCGUCCCAUUAGCUAGUUGGCGGGGUAACGGCCCACCAAGGCUACGAUGGGUAGGGGUUCUGAGAGGAUGAUCCCCCACACUGGUACUGAGAUACGGACCAGACUCCUACGGGAGGCAGCAGUAGGGAAUAUUGGGCAAUGGGCGGAAGCCUGACCCAGCCAUGCCGCGUGCAGGAUUGACGGCCUUCGGGUUGUAAACUGCUUUUAUACGGGAAGAAUAAGGUCCAUGCGUGGGCCGAUGACGGUACCGUAAGAAUAAGCACCGGCUAACUCCGUGCCAGCAGCCGCGGUAAUACGGAGGGUGCAAGCGUUGUCCGGAUUUAUUGGGUUUAAAGGGUACGUAGGCGGCCAGGUAAGUCAGUGGUGAAAGUUUGCGGCUUAACCGUAAAAUUGCCAUUGAUACUGUUUGGCUUGAGUACUGCA